This 2851-nucleotide long non-coding RNA is filed under the name Heterocephalus glaber (naked mole-rat). Its description in RNAcentral is "lncRNA (ENSHGLG00100037575.1)". Lineage: Eukaryota; Metazoa; Chordata; Mammalia; Rodentia; Bathyergidae. The record is from RNAcentral.
GUGAUUAUUUAUUUGACUAGAAAACUCUAAGGUGGAAAUAAUUUCUUUUUCUUCAAGAAAAAAAAAAUUAAAAGAAUGUCUUUUCAGUUUCUCCAGACCUUUGAACUGCAACAGAAAAUUGGAGAAUAUAACCUAGCCCUGGGCAUAUGCUGCUCUGGGUCUUGGGCCAGUUUCUGUCUACAGUAAGUUGACUUUUGGGUAUCAUGUAAGGGCAGGCCAUAAAGAUUGUAAAGAAAAGACUGGAUCUUUUAAAAAACUCAGUUUCUAAAGUCAUAGCUAAGAUAUCUUUAAUCGAGAUUAUAAUGCUAACUAUGGCUUAAAAGUAAAUGUUUUUAGUGAAAUACUAAGCAGCAUUUCCCAAAUCAUGUAUUGCUAUGUCAGAGUUUUGUCUUGAUUUUAGAGAGGCUAAUGAGGUCAGAUGAAUACAAUGGCAAUUAACAUAUUAGGAAAGUUGUGUGGAGAUGUAGCUAAAGGAAACAAUUGGAAUGAAUCUUCUUGCCUUAGGACUCCUGCAAAGCCUAGGUCAGUGAUGGCAAACACUUUAGGGCUUUCAGUGAUAACAAUCCACUAUGGCACACUUACCGUAGGUAAGUCUGCCACCAUUUCCCUAGGUAGAUGAGUAACUGCCUAUGUUCCAGAAUCCACCCUCUGGUGACUGGUGGGGUAGCCUUUCAGUAAGGGUCUUGGUAUUACAGGCUAAUAACUUUGUUUGGUUCUAGUAAUACUGAGGUAUAGGAAUUGGUAGAAAAAUGACAAAGUUGACCAAGAUUUGUCCCCUAUUGUAUUCCCAGCCACUCUCCUCCAGGAUAAUGUAAAUAUCCUUCCUUAUCUUGACAAGUGUAUAAAGAAAACCUGUGAAAUGACCCUGAUUUGGUGUUUAUUGAGACCUUGAUCUCCUGCCACACUUCCCCUCAUGAGUCAUUUCACUCUUCAUUGCCUGUAGGGAUUGUUAGUUCUGCUGGUUGCUCUGUAAGGUACAGCCUGUGUGCUCUGCUCCCUGUGAAUUUCAUCCACAGACUUGGUUAGUCAUAAUUUGUAAAGAGCAUCCCCCCACCCUUUUCAUCUUCUCCCAUACUGAGGCUGCUAUUGUGGCAGGGACAAGGGAGCAGGAAGCCUACCCAAAUUAACACUCAAAUUUCCUUCAUAUUACUUGGUCUUUAGCCCUCACUACCCAACCCCCUACUGCUGUUCCUAGUCUCAUUUUUAGGGGAUUCAUGAGAAUAGGACAUAUGGAUACAUUGAUCUUUAUAGGGUGUCAGCCGUGAGAUGCAUACUUCCCCUCCCAGAGGACAGGAGAGAAAUCUGUAAAGCGACAGAUGCACCAUCUUUAUUUUACAAACUUUUUAAAGCCUCCUCAGAUUUUGUUGCUAAGAGUCUCAUUGCAAGAUUUGUUCAGCUGUCUUCCCCAUAUCUAUACCUUUUUAUUGGCUAUCUUUUAUUUAAAAAUAAUAAACACUUUUAGAUUAAUACUUUUAAAAAAUGGAAAUCAUUUUUUUUUCAGUGCUGGGGAACAAACUCAGGGCCUUGCACAUGCCAGGCAAGCACUCUACUAAUGAGCUAAAUCCCCAGCCCCACAAUAAUAAACAUUUUAAAUAUCUUACUAUCUUAUAAAUAAUAAAAUAUAUUUUCUAUAAAAUAGUAAGAUGUUUCACUCUGUCCUGUUGUGAGCUUUCAAAAAUGCUUAAUGCUUGACAGGUGGUUGGUUAAGCAGGGAGUUCUUUUUUAAAAAACAAUUUUAGUGAUGCAUAUUUUACUUACAGUAAAUUCUCACAUUUCAAGUGUAUAAGUUGGUGGUUUCAGUAACUUUCCUCAGUGGUGUAGCCAUAACCAUUACUUAGCUUUAGAAUGUUUUCAUCCCUCCCAAUAAGAUCCUUCAUGAUCAUUUAGUCAGCCCUUGCUCCCAUCCCCAUCACUUUGUUUCUGUAUAUACACCUUUUCUGGACAUUUCACGUCAGUGGAAUCGUACACUAUGUGCCAUCUGGUUCUUUUCACUUAGCACGUUUUUGAGGCUCGUCCGUGACAUGUUUUGGUGGUUCUUUUUAUGGCUGAACAAUAUCCCAUUAAUGGGUAUGCCAUUAUGUCAGCAAAGAACCUUUUAAACUUGGAUUUCAACUUCCUAUGGUCCAAAUGGAAGCCUCUAAACGUAGAGUUCCAUAAGGGAAGCUACUGUGUAUGUCAAAGAAAUUCCUUUUCAAAACCAGCUUUGCUAUCAGAAGUUCCAUAAAAGGAGCCUCAGCUGCUGCACAGAUUUUUAUAAUUUUCAAUUUCUUUUUUAUAAGCAACUUUUAUGCUGUCUGCUACACAUCAGGAUUUUUGAAGCAUCUGAUAGAUCCAUUCAAUGAGCAUGUGCUUGAGUGGACAAGCAAGUAAAACCAUCAGUGCUGUGCUGGAUGUUUCUUUUCCCCCUAGACUGGAUGGGGGAAUCUCUGAACUUUCUACAUACAGUGUCAUGUCUCCAUUUAUAAAACUGACCAUGUAUUAAAGGUUGUACUGCCUUUGUUGGACACAUUUGGAGGGAAAGAGGGCCCACAACAGAGGUGGAAAGGAAAAAGGAAUGGAGCUUGUGGAAUAAGAAGCCCCAGAGGGUCUGUGCAUGGCCCGCCAGCUGGCUGUGGAUGGUGACAAGUGUUAAUGGUGACCUGGGCAGCCUGGCACCUCAGCUGGCCUAGGUCUAGAAUCAUGUUUCUGCUUCACAAGUGUUUAAAAGCUGGCUUUUCUUCCCUCCUAAAUAAACAUUACAUGGCAGUUAUUAAUACUGUUUGGGGGGAGGGAAAGGGAUUUAAAACAAAAUAAUUUUCAUAAAAACGGAAAAAAGUCACUUGAAAAAAUUGCUAUACAAACUGAAUGGCAG